UGCCCCGAGAUGAGUUCUCCCUGAGACUUUAAGUUUCCUGAAGGAACGUUAAAUACGAGGACGUUGAUAGGUCGGGUGUGUAAGCGCAGCGAUGCGUUGAGCUAACCGAUACUAAUGAACCGUGAGGCUUAACCUUACAACGCCGAAG
Molecule: ribosomal RNA, 148 nt
Filed under: Enterobacter cloacae subsp. cloacae
Lineage: Bacteria; Pseudomonadati; Pseudomonadota; Gammaproteobacteria; Enterobacterales; Enterobacteriaceae
Description: partial 23S ribosomal RNA
Rfam family: Bacterial large subunit ribosomal RNA
Source: RNAcentral